This 70-nucleotide non-coding RNA is filed under the name Schistosoma mansoni. The record is from RNAcentral. Lineage: Eukaryota; Metazoa; Platyhelminthes; Trematoda; Strigeidida; Schistosomatidae.
UAACUAACUCCGCUUGUAGCUCCUCUAGAGUUACUGCCGGUCCAAAGCCCGGAUAAAGGAGGAGGGUUGG